RNAcentral lists this ribosomal RNA (465 nucleotides) under uncultured bacterium. RNAcentral describes it as "partial 16S ribosomal RNA". It matches the Rfam family "Bacterial small subunit ribosomal RNA", at positions 338 to 795 of the family's 1533-position model. The record is from RNAcentral.
CCUACGGGUGGCUGCAGUGGGGAAUUUUGCGCAAUGCUCGUAAGAGUGACGCAGCGACGCCGCGUGAAUGACGAAGGCCCUCGGGUCGUAAAGUUCUUUUGACAGGGAAGAAAAUGCCUAUAAGUAACUGCGUAUGUAUUGUCGGUACCUGUUUAAGCAGCCCCGGCUAACUCCGUGCCAGCAGCCGCGGUAAUACGGAGGGGGCGAGCGGUGUUCGGAGUGACUGGGCGUUAAGAGUACGUAGGGGGUGUUGUAAGUCAUUAGUCAAAGAGUAGGGGUCAAAUUUAGUAAGGCUAGUGAUACUAUAAUACUAGAGUAUCAGAGAGGAUUGCAGAAUGCCUGGUGUAGCGGUGAAAUGCGUAGAUAUCAGGAGGAAUACCGUUAGCGAAGGCGGCAAUCUGGCUGGAAACUGACGCUGAGGUGCGAAAGCGUGGGUAGCAAACAGGAUUAGAUACCCUUGUAGUC